GACGAACGCUGGCGGCGUGCCUAAUACAUGCAAGUAGAACGCUGAAGAGAGGAGCUUGCUCUUCUUGGAUGAGUUGCGAACGGGUGAGUAACGCGUAGGUAACCUGCCUUGUAGCGGGGGAUAACUUUUGGAAACGAUAGCUAAUACCGCAUAACAAUGGAUGACACAUGUCAUUUAUUUGAAAGGGGCAAUUGCUCCACUACAAGAUGGACCUGCGUUGUAUUAGCUAGUAGGUGAGGUAAUGGCUCACCUAGGCGGCGUUACAUAGCCGACCUGAGAGGGUGAUAGGCCACACUGGGACUGAGACACGGCCCAGACUCCUACGGGAGGCAGCAGUAGGGAAUCUUCGGCAAUGGGGGCAACCCUGACCGAGCAACGCCGCGUGAGUGAAGAAGGUUUUCGGAUCGUAAAGCUCUGUUGUAAGUCAAGAACGGGUGUGAGAGUGGAAAGUUCACACUGUGACGGUAGCUUACCAGAAAGGGACGGCUAACUACGUG
RNAcentral lists this ribosomal RNA (497 nucleotides) under uncultured bacterium. RNAcentral describes it as "partial 16S ribosomal RNA". It matches the Rfam family "Bacterial small subunit ribosomal RNA", at positions 28 to 507 of the family's 1533-position model. The record is from RNAcentral.